GACGAACGCUGGCGGCGUGCUUAACACACGCAAGUCGAACGGAAAGGCCCUGCUUUUGUGGGGUGCUCGAGUGGCGAACGGGUGAGUAACACGUGAGUAACCUGCCCUUGACUUUGGGAUAACUUCAGGAAACUGGGGCUAAUACCGGAUAGGAGCUCCUGCUGCAUGGUGGGGGUUGGAAAGUUUCGGCGGUUGGGGAUGGACUCGCGGCUUAUCAGCUUGUUGGUGGGGUAGUGGCUUACCAAGGCUUUGACGGGUAGCCGGCCUGAGAGGGUGACCGGCCACAUUGGGACUGAGAUACGGCCCAGACUCCUACGGGAGGCAGCAGUGGGGAAUAUUGCACAAUGGGCGGAAGCCUGAUGCAGCAACGCCGCGUGCGGGAUGACGGCCUUCGGGUUGUAAACCGCUUUCGCCUGUGACGAAGCGUGAGUGACGGUAAUGGGUAAAGAAGCACCGGCUAACUACGU
This 467-nucleotide ribosomal RNA is filed under the name uncultured bacterium. RNAcentral describes it as "partial 16S ribosomal RNA". It matches the Rfam family "Bacterial small subunit ribosomal RNA", at positions 28 to 506 of the family's 1533-position model. The record is from RNAcentral.